This 466-nucleotide ribosomal RNA is filed under the name uncultured bacterium. RNAcentral's name for it is "bacterial SSU rRNA". It matches the Rfam family "Bacterial small subunit ribosomal RNA", at positions 30 to 498 of the family's 1533-position model. The record is from RNAcentral.
AUUGAACGCUGGCGGCAUGCCUUACACAUGCAAGUCGAACGGCAGCACGGGAGCAAUCCUGGUGGCGAGUGGCGAACGGGUGAGUAAUAUAUCGGAACGUGCCCAGUCGUGGGGAUAACGUAGCGAAAGCUACGCUAAUACCGCAUACGAUCUAUGGAUGAAAGCGGGGGAUCGCAAGACCUCGCGCGAUUGGAGCGGCCGAUAUCAGAUUAGGUAGUUGGUGAGGUAAAGGCUCACCAAGCCGACGAUCUGUAGCUGGUCUGAGAGGACGACCAGCCACACUGGGACUGAGACACGGCCCAGACUCCUACGGGAGGCAGCAGUGAGGAAUAUUGGUCAAUGGGCGCAAGCCUGAACCAGCCAUGCCGCGUGCAGGAAGACGGUCCUAUGGAUUGUAAACUGCUUUAUACAGGAGAAACCCUCCACGUGUGGGAGCUUGACGGUACUGUAGGAAUAAGGAUCGGCU